CAAGUCGAGCGAGAACCAGUCCUUCGGGACUGGGGACAGCGGCGAACGGGUGAGUAUCACGUGGGUAAUCUGCCCUCGGCACCGGGAUAGCCCGGGGAAACCCGGAUUAAUACCGGAUAGCCUCUCGAGCCUUCGGGCUCGUCAGAAAAGGUGGCUUCGGCUUCCGGCUGAGGAUGAGCCCGCGGCGGAUUAGCUUGUUGGCGGGGUAAUGGCCCACCAAGGCGACGAUCCGUAGCUGGUCUGAGAGGACGAUCAGCCACACUGGGACUGAGACACGGCCCAGACUCCUACGGGAGGCAGCAGUGGGGAAUCUUGCGCAAUGGGCGAAAGCCUGACGCAGCGACGCCGCGUGCGGGAAGAAGGCCUUCGGGUUGUAAACCGCUUUCAGGAGGGACGAAGCCACUCGGGUUAAUAGCCCAGAGGGUGACGGUACCUCCAGAAGAAGCCCCGGCUAACUACGUGCCAGCAGCCGCGGUAAUACGUAGGGGGCAAGCGUUGUCCGGAUUUAUUGGGCGUAAAGAGCGUGUAGGCGGCCAGGUAGGUCAGCUGUGAAAACUCGAGGCUCAACCUCGAGAUGUCGGCUGAAACCAUCUGGCUAGAGUCCGGAAGAGGAGAAUGGAAUUCCCGGUGUAGCGGUGAAAUGCGCAGAUAUCGGGAAGAACACCCGUGGCGAAGGCGGUUCUCUGGGACGGUACUGACGCUGAGACGCGAAAGCGUGGGGAGCGAACAGGAUUAGAUACCCUGGUAGUCCACGCCGUAAACGAUGGGAACUAGGUGUGGGCGGUGUCGACUCCGUCCGUGCCGAAGCUAACGCAUUAAGU
Molecule: ribosomal RNA, 821 nt
Filed under: uncultured Actinomycetes bacterium
Lineage: Bacteria; Bacillati; Actinomycetota; Actinomycetes
Description: bacterial SSU rRNA
Rfam family: Bacterial small subunit ribosomal RNA
Source: RNAcentral